RNAcentral lists this ribosomal RNA (468 nucleotides) under uncultured bacterium. RNAcentral describes it as "partial 16S ribosomal RNA". It matches the Rfam family "Bacterial small subunit ribosomal RNA", at positions 28 to 507 of the family's 1533-position model. The record is from RNAcentral.
GACGAACGCUGGCGGCGUGCUUAACACAUGCAAGUCGAACGGAAAGGCCCUGCUUUUGUGGGGUGCUCGAGUGGCGAACGGGUGAGUAACACGUGAGUAACCUGCCCUUGACUUUGGGAUAACUUCAGGAAACUGGGGCUAAUACCGGAUAGGAGCUCCUGCUGCAUGGUGGGGGUUGGAAAGUUUCGGCGGUUGGGGAUGGACUCGCGGCUUAUCAGCUUGUUGGUGGGGUAGUGGCUUACCAAGGCUUUGACGGGUAGCCGGCCUGAGAGGGUGACCGGACACAUUGGGACUGAGAUAGGGCCCAGCCUCCUACGGGAGGCAGCAGUGGGGAAUAUUGCACAAUGGGCGGAAGCCUGAUGCAGCAACGCCGCGUGCGGGAUGACGGCCUUCGGGUUGUAAACCGCUUUCGCCUGUGACGAAGCGGGAGUGACGGUAAUGGGUAAAGAAGCACCGGCUAACUACGUG